GGUGUAGGCGGCUUGGCAAGUCGGAUGUGAAAUCCCAGGGCCCAACCCUGGAACUGCAUUCGAAACUGCCUCGCUAGAGUCCCGGAGAGGGUGGCGGAAUUCCCGGUGUAGGGGUGAAAUCCGUAGAUAUCGGGAGGAACACCAGUGGCGAAGGCGGCCACCUGGACGGUGACUGACGCUCAGACCCGAAAGCGUGGGGAGCAAACAGGAUUAGAUACCCUGGUAGUC
RNAcentral lists this ribosomal RNA (228 nucleotides) under uncultured bacterium. RNAcentral describes it as "partial 16S ribosomal RNA". It matches the Rfam family "Bacterial small subunit ribosomal RNA", at positions 568 to 795 of the family's 1533-position model. The record is from RNAcentral.